RNAcentral lists this ribosomal RNA (362 nucleotides) under uncultured bacterium. Its description in RNAcentral is "bacterial SSU rRNA". It matches the Rfam family "Bacterial small subunit ribosomal RNA", at positions 527 to 891 of the family's 1533-position model. The record is from RNAcentral.
GAAGGUCCCAAGCGUUAUCCGGAUUUAUUGGGUUUAAAGGGUGCGUAGGCGGGCUAUUAAGUCAGUGGUGAAAGCCCCAAGCUUAACUUGGGAACUGCCAUUGAUACCAAUGGUCUUGAGUACAUUUGAGGUGGGCGGAAUGUGUCAUGUAGCGGUGAAAUGCUUAGAUAUGACACAGAACACCGAUUGCGAAGGCAGCUCACUAAACUGUAACUGACGCUGAGGCGCGAAAGCGUGGGGAGCAAACAGGAUUAGAUACCCUGGUAGUCCACGCCCUAAACGAUGAUCACUCGAUGUGUGCGAUAUACUGUACGCGUCUGAGCGAAAGCAUUAAGUGAUCCACCUGGGGAGUACGACCGCAA